This 221-nucleotide long non-coding RNA is filed under the name Eucalyptus grandis. Its description in RNAcentral is "long non-coding RNA (EGRA_LNC003229)". Lineage: Eukaryota; Viridiplantae; Streptophyta; Magnoliopsida; Myrtales; Myrtaceae. The record is from RNAcentral.
GCCUUCCCGGAGCUCCGCCCAUCUUUCCCGACCUCUUGCCACCCCCAUCCCUCUCUAUUUCUCUCUGUUUUGUAGCGAACCAGCAACCCCGUCGUGUGGGUUUCCAGCCGGUUCGUGGUUGAUUUCGGGCAAUUUCUGGGCCCCGAACCCGAGGCCCGCUUUGGAGUUUGGUGUUCCUCGCGUCGCCCCCGUCGGAUUGAUCCGAUUUGCGUGCGAUUUGG